This 451-nucleotide ribosomal RNA is filed under the name uncultured bacterium. RNAcentral's name for it is "bacterial SSU rRNA". It matches the Rfam family "Bacterial small subunit ribosomal RNA", at positions 354 to 796 of the family's 1533-position model. The record is from RNAcentral.
GUGGGGAAUAUUGGACAAUGGGGGGAACCCUGAUCCAGCCAUGCCGCGUGUGUGAAGAAGGCCUUUUGGUUGUAAAGCACUUUAAGCGAGGAGGAGGCUACCGAGAUUAAUACUCUUGGAUAGUGGACGUUACUCGCAGAAUAAGCACCGGCUAACUCUGUGCCAGCAGCCGCGGUAAUACAGAGGGUGCAAGCGUUAAUCGGAUUUACUGGGCGUAAAGCGCGCGUAGGUGGCCAAUUAAGUCAAAUGUGGAAUCCCCGAGCUUAACUUGGGAAUUGCAUUCGAUACUGGUUGGCUAGAGUAUGGGAGAGGAUGGUAGAAUUCCAGGUGUAGCGGUGAAAUGCGUAGAGAUCUGGAGGAAUACCGAUGGCGAAGGCAGCCAUCUGGCCUAAUACUGACACUGAGGUGCGAAAGCAUGGGGAGCAAACAGGAUUAGAAACCCGUGUAGUCC